UGGCAGUGUGGUUAGCUGGUAGU
RNAcentral lists this non-coding RNA (23 nucleotides) under Drosophila melanogaster (fruit fly). RNAcentral also lists the same sequence under 1 other name. The record is from RNAcentral. Lineage: Eukaryota; Metazoa; Arthropoda; Insecta; Diptera; Drosophilidae.